AUGAACGCUGGCGGCGUGCCUAAUACAUGCAAGUCGAGCGAACGGACGAGAAGCUUGCUUCUCUGAUGUUAGCGGCGGACGGGUGAGUAACACGUGGAUAACCUACCUAUAAGACUGGGAUAACUUCGGGAAACCGGAGCUAAUACCGGAUAAUAUUUUGAACCGCAUGGUUCAAAAGUAAAAGACGGUCUUGCUGUCACUUAUAGAUGGAUCCGCGCUGCAUUAGCUAGUUGGUAAGGUAACGGCUUACCAAGGCAACGAUGCAUAGCCGACCUGAGAGGGUGAUCGGCCACACUGGAACUGAGACACGGUCCAGACUCCUACGGGAGGCAGCAGUAGGGAAUCUUCCGCAAUGGGCGAAAGCCUGACGGAGCAACGCCGCGUGAGUGAUGAAGGUCUUCGGAUCGUAAAACUCUGUUAUUAGGGAAGAACAUAUGUGUAAGUAACUGUGCACAUCUUGACGGUACCUAAUCAGAAAGCCACGGCUAACUACAUG
This 496-nucleotide ribosomal RNA is filed under the name uncultured bacterium. Its description in RNAcentral is "partial 16S ribosomal RNA". It matches the Rfam family "Bacterial small subunit ribosomal RNA", at positions 29 to 507 of the family's 1533-position model. The record is from RNAcentral.